AUUGAACGCUGGCGGCAGGCCUAACACAUGCAAGUCGAGCGGCAGCGGGAAAGUAGCUUGCUACUUUUGCCGGCGAGCGGCGGACGGGUGAGUAAUGCCUGGGAAAUUGCCCAGUCGAGGGGGAUAACAGUUGGAAACGACUGCUAAUACUGCAUACGCCCUACGGGGGAAAGCAGGGGACCUUCGGGCCUUGCGCGACUGGAUAUGCCCAGGUGGGAUUAGCUAGUUGGUGAGGUAAUGGCUCACCAAGGCGACGAUCCCUAGCUGGUCUGAGAGGAUGAGCGGCCACACUGGAACUGAGACACGGUCCAGACUCCUACGGGAGGCAGCAGUGGGGAAUAUUGCACAAUGGGGGAAACCCUGAUGCAGCCAUGCCGCGUGUGUGAAGAAGGCCUUCGGGUUGUAAAGCACUUUCAGCGAGGAGGAAAGGUUGAUGCCUAAUACGUAUCAACUGUGACGUUACUCGCAGAAGAAGCACCGGCUAACUCCGUGCCAGCCGCCGCCGUAA
Molecule: ribosomal RNA, 508 nt
Filed under: uncultured bacterium
Lineage: Bacteria
Description: partial 16S ribosomal RNA
Rfam family: Bacterial small subunit ribosomal RNA
Source: RNAcentral